This 301-nucleotide ribosomal RNA is filed under the name uncultured bacterium. Its description in RNAcentral is "partial 16S ribosomal RNA". It matches the Rfam family "Bacterial small subunit ribosomal RNA", at positions 509 to 807 of the family's 1533-position model. The record is from RNAcentral.
CAGCCGCCGCGGGAAUACGGAGGGGGCUAGCGUUGUUCGGAAUUACUGGGCGUAAAGCGCACGUAGGCGGCUUGGUAAGUUAGAGGUGAAAGCCUGGAGCUCAACUCCAGAAUUGUCUUUAAGACUGCCGAGCUAGCAGGUGAGAGAGGUAAGUGGAAUUCCGAGUGUAGAGGUGAAACUCGUAGAUAUUCGGAAGAACACCAGUGGCGAAGGCGGCUUACUGGCUCAUACUGGACGCUGAGGUGCGAAAGCGUGGGGAGCAAACAGGAUUAGAUACCCCCGUAGUCCCUGUCUCUUAUAC